GUGCAGCAGUCGCGCAAACUUUGCAAUACACGAAAGUGUGACAGGGCUAUCCCGAGUGCCGUCCGCUGAGGGUGGCUUUUACCCAGUCUAUAAAGCUGGGAGAAUAAGGAGAGGGCAAGUCUGGUGUCAGCCGCCGCGGUAAUACCAGCUCUCCGAGUGGUGUGGAUGUUUAUUGGGCCUAAAGCAUCCGUAGCUUGCCAAGCAAGUCCCCUGUUAAACCCACCGAAUUAAUCGUUGGAUUGCGGGGGAUACUGCUCGGCUAGGGGACGGGAGAGGCCGACGGUAUUUCCGGGGUAGGGGUGAAAUCCUAUAAUCCUAGGGGGACCACCAGUGGCGAAGGCGUUCUGCGAGAACGGGCUCGACGGUGAGGGACGAAAGCCAGGGGCGCAAACGGGAUUAGAUACCCCCGUAGUCC
RNAcentral lists this ribosomal RNA (415 nucleotides) under uncultured crenarchaeote. RNAcentral describes it as "partial 16S ribosomal RNA". It matches the Rfam family "Archaeal small subunit ribosomal RNA", at positions 330 to 747 of the family's 1478-position model. Lineage: Archaea; Thermoproteati; Thermoproteota. The record is from RNAcentral.